AGAACGAACGCUGGCGGCGUGGAUAAGACAUGCAAGUCGAACGGGAUAUUAUUUGUAGCAAUACAAAUGAUGUCCAGUGGCGUAAGGGUGCGUAACACGUGGGCAAUCUGCCGAAGAGUGGGGGAUAGCUCGCCGAAAGGCGAAUUAAUACCGCAUGUGGCUUGCGAAGGAAUCUUCGCUGGGCCAAAGCCGGGUACCUAGCAAUAGGCCUGGCGCUCUUUGAUGAGCCCGCGGCCUAUCAGCUAGUUGGUGAGGUAACGGCUCACCAAGGCUAUGACGGGUAGC
RNAcentral lists this ribosomal RNA (285 nucleotides) under uncultured bacterium. RNAcentral's name for it is "partial small subunit ribosomal RNA". It matches the Rfam family "Bacterial small subunit ribosomal RNA", at positions 26 to 287 of the family's 1533-position model. The record is from RNAcentral.